CUUUUACAAUGAAGAGUUUGAUCCUGGCUCAGGAUGAACGCUAGCUACAGGCUUAACACAUGCAAGUCGAGGGGCAGCAUUUCAGUUUGCUUGCAAACUGGAGAUGGCGACCGGCGCACGGGUGAGUAACACGUAUCCAACCUGCCGAUAACUCGGGGAUAGCCUUUCGAAAGAAAGAUUAAUACCCGAUGGUAUAAUUAGACCGCAUGGUCUUGUUAUUAAAGAAUUUCGGUUAUCGAUGGGGAUGCGUUCCAUUAGGCAGUUGGUGAGGUAACGGCUCACCAAACCUUCGAUGGAUAGGGGUUCUGAGAGGAAGGUCCCCCACAUUGGAACUGAGACACGGUCCAAACUCCUACGGGAGGCAGCAGUGAGGAAUAUUGGUCAAUGGGCGCAGGCCUGAACCAGCCAAGUAGCGUGAAGGAUGACUGCCCUAUGGGUUGUAAACUUCUUUUAUAUGGGAAUAAAGUUUUCCACGUGUGGAAUUUUGUAUGUACCAUAUGAAUAAGGAUCGGCUAACUCCGUGCCAGCAGCCGCGGUAAUACGGAGGAUCCGAGCGUUAUCCGGAUUUAUUGGGUUUAAAGGGAGCGUAGGUGGACAGUUAAGUCAGUUGUGAAAGUUUGCGGCUCAACCGUAAAAUUGCAGUUGAUACUGGCUGUCUUGAGUACAGUAGAGGUGGGCGGAAUUCGUGGUGUAGCGGUGAAAUGCUUAGAUAUCACGAAGAACUCCGAUUGCGAAGGCAGCUCACUGGACUGCAACUGACACUGAUGCUCGAAAGUGUGGGUAUCAAACAGGAUUAGAUACCCUGGUAGUCCACACAGUAAACGAUGAAUACUCGCUGUUUGCGAUAUACAGUAAGCGGCCAAGCGAAAGCAUUAAGUAUUCCACCUGGGGAGUACGCCGGCAACGGUGAAACUCAAAGGAAUUGACGGGGGCCCGCACAAGCGGAGGAACAUGUGGUUUAAUUCGAUGAUACGCGAGGAACCUUACCCGGGCUUAAAUUGCAUUUGAAUAUAUUGGAAACAGUAUAGUCGUAAGACAAAUGUGAAGGUGCUGCAUGGUUGUCGUCAGCUCGUGCCGUGAGGUGUCGGCUUAAGUGCCAUAACGAGCGCAACCCUUAUCUUUAGUUACUAACAGGUCAUGCUGAGGACUCUAGAGAGACUGCCGUCGUAAGAUGUGAGGAAGGUGGGGAUGACGUCAAAUCAGCACGGCCCUUACGUCCGGGGCUACACACGUGUUACAAUGGGGGGUACAGAAGGCAGCUACCUGGUGACAGGAUGCUAAUCCCAAAAGCCUCUCUCAGUUCGGAUCGAAGUCUGCAACCCGACUUCGUGAAGCUGGAUUCGCUAGUAAUCGCGCAUCAGCCAUGGCGCGGUGAAUACGUUCCCGGGCCUUGUACACACCGCCCGUCAAGCCAUGAAAGCCGGGGGUACCUGAAGUACGUAACCGCAAGGAGCGUCCUAGGGUAAAACUGGUAAUUGGGGCUAAGUCGUAACAAGGUAGCCGUACCGGAAGGUGCGGCUGGAACACCUCCUUUCU
Molecule: ribosomal RNA, 1536 nt
Filed under: Bacteroides thetaiotaomicron
Lineage: Bacteria; Pseudomonadati; Bacteroidota; Bacteroidia; Bacteroidales; Bacteroidaceae
Description: bacterial SSU rRNA
Rfam family: Bacterial small subunit ribosomal RNA
Source: RNAcentral